RNAcentral lists this transfer RNA (72 nucleotides) under Heterocephalus glaber (naked mole-rat). It matches the Rfam family "tRNA". From Rfam's summary of the family: Transfer RNA (tRNA) molecules are approximately 80 nucleotides in length. Their secondary structure includes four short double-helical elements and three loops (D, anti-codon, and T loops). Further hydrogen bonds mediate the characteristic L-shaped molecular structure. tRNAs have two regions of fundamental functional importance: the anti-codon, which is responsible for specific mRNA codon recognition, and the 3' end, to which the tRNAs corresponding amino acid is attached (by aminoacyl-tRNA synthetases). tRNAs cope with the degeneracy of the genetic code in two manners: having more than one tRNA (with a specific anti-codon) for a particular amino acid; and 'wobble' base-pairing, i.e. permitting non-standard base-pairing at the 3rd anti-codon position. Lineage: Eukaryota; Metazoa; Chordata; Mammalia; Rodentia; Bathyergidae. The record is from Rfam by way of RNAcentral.
UGGGGUGUAGCUCAGUGGUAGAAUGCUUGCCUAGCGUGCAUGGAGCCCUGAGUUCAAUCCCCAGCACCACAA